CGAUGUGGGAAGGCCCAGACAGCCAGGAUGUUGGCUUAGAAGCAGCCAUCAUUUAAAGAAAGCGUAAUAGCUCACUGGUCGAGUCGGCCUGCGCGGAAGAUGUAACGGGGCUAAACCAUGCACCGAAGCUGCGGCAGCGACACUGUGUGUUGUUGGGUAGGGGAGCGUUCUGUAAGCCUGUGAAGGUGUGUCGUGAGGCAUGCUGGAGGUAUCAGAAGUGCGAAUGCUGACAUAAGUAACGAUAAAGCGGGUGAAAAGCCCGCUCGCCGGAAGACCAAGGGUUCCUGUCCAACGUUAAUCGGGGCAGGGUGAGUCGACCCCUAAGGCGAGGCCGAAAGGCGUAGUCGAUGGGAAACGGGUUAAUAUUCCCGUACUUGGUGUUACUGCGAAGGGGGGACGGAGAAGGCUAUGUUGGCCGGGCGACGGUUGUCCCGGUUUAAGCGUGUAGGUGUGUGUUCCAGGUAAAUCCGGUUCACUUUAACACUGAGGCGUGACGACGAGGCACUACGGUGCUGAAGCAACAAAUGCCCUGCUUCCAGGAAAAGCCUCUAAGCAUCAGGUAACAUCAAAUCGUACCCCAAACCGACACAGGUGGUCAGGUAGAGAAUACCAAGGCGCUUGAGAGAACUCGGGUGAAGGAACUAGGCAAAAUGGUGCCGUAACUUCGGGAGAAGGCACGCUGACACGUAGGUGAAGUGAUUUACUCAUGGAGCUGAAGUCAGUCGAAGAUACCAGCUGGCUGCRACUGUUUAWUAAAAACACAGCACUSUGCAAACACGAAAGUGGACGUAUASGGUGUGACGCCUGCCCGGUGCCGGAAGRUUAAWUGAUGGGGUCAGCGCAAGCGAAGCUCYUGAUYGAAGYCCCGGUAAACGGCGGCCGUAACUAUAACGGUCCUAAGGUAGCGAAAUUCCUUGUCGGGUAAGUUCCGACCUGCACGAAUGGCGUAAYGAUGGCCASRCUGUCUCCWCCCGAGACUCAGYGAARUUGAASUSKYUGUGAWGAUGCARUSUMCCCGCGGCWAGACGGAAAGACCCCRUGAACCUUUACURUAGCUUGACACUGAACAUUGAGCCUUGAUGUGUAGGAUAGGUGGGAGGCUUUGAAGUGUGGACGCCAGUCUGCAUGGAGCCGACCUUGAAAUACCACCCUUUAAUGUUUGAUGUUCUAACGUGGACCCGUUACCCGGGUUGCGGACAGUGUCUGGUGGGUAGUUUGACUGGGGCGGUCUCCUCCUAAAGAGUAACGGAGGAGCACGAAGGUUGGCUAAUCCUGGUCGGACAUCAGGAGGUUAGUGCAAUGGCAUAAGCCAGCUUGACUGCGAGCGUGACGGCGCGAGCAGGUGCGAAAGCAGGUCAUAGUGAUCCGGUGGUUCUGAAUGGAAGGGCCAUCGCUCAACGGAUAAAAGGUACUCCGGGGAUAACAGGCUGAUACCGCCCAAGAGUUCAUAUCGACGGCGGUGUUUGGCACCUCGAUGUCGGCUCAUCACAUCCUGGGGCUGAAGUAGGU
Molecule: ribosomal RNA, 1509 nt
Filed under: Lactobacillus acidophilus
Lineage: Bacteria; Bacillati; Bacillota; Bacilli; Lactobacillales; Lactobacillaceae
Description: bacterial LSU rRNA
Rfam family: Bacterial large subunit ribosomal RNA
Source: RNAcentral